AACGUAGGAGGCAAGCGUUAUCCGGAUUUACUGGGCGUAAAGCGCGCGCAGGCGGCUUUGUAAGUCGGACGUGAAAGCCCCCGGCUCAACUGGGGGAGGCCGUUCGAGACUGCAAGGCUUGAGGUCGGGAGAGGGGAGUGGAAUUCCCGGUGUAGUGGUGAAAUGCGUAGAUAUCGGGAGGAACACCAGUGGCGAAGGCGGCUCCCUGGCCCGCACCUGACGCUAAGGCGCGAAAGCGUGGGUAGCAAACGGGAUUAGAUACCCCAGUA
This 269-nucleotide ribosomal RNA is filed under the name uncultured prokaryote. RNAcentral describes it as "partial 16S ribosomal RNA". It matches the Rfam family "Bacterial small subunit ribosomal RNA", at positions 524 to 792 of the family's 1533-position model. The record is from RNAcentral.